AAUUAUUUGAUGCUAAAAAAGAAGAAUUUCACUGUUAAUGAAAAAAAUGAAUAAAAUCUAAUUAAAAAA
This 69-nucleotide transfer RNA is filed under the name Nogodinidae sp. RNAcentral describes it as "tRNA-Asn". The record is from RNAcentral. Lineage: Eukaryota; Metazoa; Arthropoda; Insecta; Hemiptera; Nogodinidae.